RNAcentral lists this ribosomal RNA (482 nucleotides) under uncultured bacterium. RNAcentral describes it as "partial 16S ribosomal RNA". It matches the Rfam family "Bacterial small subunit ribosomal RNA", at positions 28 to 507 of the family's 1533-position model. The record is from RNAcentral.
GAUGAACGCUAGCGGCAGGCCUAAUACAUGCAAGUCGGACGGGAUUCAGGAGCUUGCUUCUGAUGAGAGUGGCGCACGGGUGCGUAACACGUAUGUAACCUACCUUUAUCAGGGGGAUAGCCUCUCGAAAGAGAGAUUAAGCCCGCAUAAAAUCACAGCACAGCAUUGUGUAAUGAUCAAAUAUUUAUAGGAUAAAGAUGGGCAUGCGGAACAUUAGCUAGAUGGCGGGGUAACGGCCCACCAUGGCGACGAUGUUUAGGGGAUCUGAGAGGAUGGCCCCCCACACGGGUACUGAGACACGGACCAGACUCCUACGGGAGGCAGCAGUAAGGAAUAUUGAUCAAUGGGCGGAAGCCUGAACCAGCCAUGCCGCGUGCAGGAAGACGGCCCUACGGGUUGUAAACUGCUUUUAUACGGGAAUAAACCCAGAUACGUGUAUCUGGCUGAAUGUACUGUAAGAAUAAGGAUCGGCUAACUCCGUG